Molecule: small RNA, 266 nt
Filed under: Pongo abelii (Sumatran orangutan)
Lineage: Eukaryota; Metazoa; Chordata; Mammalia; Primates; Hominidae
Description: processed transcript
Source: RNAcentral
GCAAGGCCCAGCCUGGGGCAGAAAUGGCUGCAAGUGGCCGAGGUCUCCGCAAGGCUGUGGCCGCCUCUCCCUUCCCAGCUUGGAGACGAGCUCACACGGAAGCAGGGGGAGGUCUGAAGCCUGAGUAUGAUGCGGUGGUGAUAGGAGCAGAGGGCCCCAGAUGCAUGAUUGCCAACUAGGUCUAUACAGAGAUAAAGCAGACGGCACUCAACAUGCAGCUUUGAGGGCAUGUCUUCAUUUUCGUAUGCACUAGAGCAGUUGCGAGC